RNAcentral lists this ribosomal RNA (463 nucleotides) under Vreelandella stevensii. RNAcentral describes it as "partial 16S ribosomal RNA". It matches the Rfam family "Bacterial small subunit ribosomal RNA", at positions 338 to 795 of the family's 1533-position model. Lineage: Bacteria; Pseudomonadati; Pseudomonadota; Gammaproteobacteria; Oceanospirillales; Halomonadaceae. The record is from RNAcentral.
CCUACGGGGGCUGCAGUGGGGAAUAUUGGACAAUGGGGGCAACCCUGAUCCAGCCAUGCCGCGUGUGUGAAGAAGGCCCUCGGGUUGUAAAGCACUUUCAGUGAGGAAGAACGCCUGGUGGUUAAUACCCAUCAGGAAAGACAUCACUCACAGAAGAAGCACCGGCUAACUCCGUGCCAGCAGCCGCGGUAAUACGGAGGGUGCGAGCGUUAAUCGGAAUUACUGGGCGUAAAGCGCGCGUAGGUGGCUUGAUAAGCCGGUUGUGAAAGCCCCGGGCUCAACCUGGGAACGGCAUCCGGAACUGUCAAGCUAGAGUGCAGGAGAGGAAGGUAGAAUUCCCGGUGUAGCGGUGAAAUGCGUAGAGAUCGGGAGGAAUACCAGUGGCGAAGGCGGCCUUCUGGACUGACACUGACACUGAGGUGCGAAAGCGUGGGUAGCAAACAGGAUUAGAUCCCCUGUAGUC